AAAAAUUUUUAAUUAAAAAUUUUUUUUAAUAUAAAUUAAUUUAGUGCCAGCAAUUGCGGUUAUUCUAAAUAUAUAAUUAAAUAUUAUCAAUUUUAGUUAUAUUAAUUUUAAUUUAAAUAAAAAUUUUUUAUUAAAAAUAAAAAUAAUUAUUUUUAGGUAAAAUUUUAAAUUUUAUUUUAUUUUUUAUUUAAUUUUAUUAAUUUAUAAUCUAAAAAAAUUUUUUUAAAAACUAGGAUUAGAUACCCUAUUAUUAAAUUAUUAAAAAUAAAAUUAUUAAAAAUUAAAGUAGUAUAAAUUUAUAAAGUUAAAACUUAAAGAAUUUGGCGGUAUUUUAGUCUUUUCAGAGGAACUUGUUUUAUAAUUGAUAAUCCACAUUAAACCUUACUUAAAGUUAUAUUAAUUUGUAUAUCAUUGUCAUUAGAAUAUUUUUUUAAAAUAAAAAUUUUCAAAAUUUAAUUUUGUUAAUUUUUAAAAAAUGUCAAAUCAAGAUGCAGUUUAUUUUUAAGUUAAAAUGAGUUACAAUAAUAAAAAAUUUUAGAUUAUUAAUUGAAAAUAUAUUAAUAAAAAAAUGGAUUUGAAAGUAAAUAUUUAUUAUAAAUAAAAAUUUUUUGAUUUAAGCUCUAAAAUAUGUACAUAUCGCCCGUCGCUCUUGUUUUAUUAAAUUAGAUAAGUCGUAACAAAGUAGAUAUACUGGAAAGUGUUUCUAGAAAUAU
RNAcentral lists this ribosomal RNA (713 nucleotides) under Clunio marinus. Its description in RNAcentral is "partial 12S rRNA". The record is from RNAcentral. Lineage: Eukaryota; Metazoa; Arthropoda; Insecta; Diptera; Chironomidae.